GCCCUUGAAAUAAUCAAAGGUGUAACCUGCUCAGUGGUUUAUAAGCAAAUUAAAUAAUCUUUAAUCACUUAAACUAAAAAGACGCAUUAAUCUGAGUGUGAUAAUGUAGCGUAAUCACUCGCCAUUUAAUUGGUGGAUAGUAUGAAUGGUUGAACGAAUAUUCCAUUGUUUUUAAUGUAAAUUAACUAAAAUUUAGCUCAUCGUAAAGACACGAUGUAAAACUGUAAGACGAAAAGACCCUAUAGAGCUUAACUAUAAACUCUUUUAUAAGAUUAGUUAUAAAACAGUUUGGUAGUUUGGUUGGGGCGACCGCCUUUUAAAAAAAACAAAGGCCAGCAAAAGUAUUAAAUAAACUUACUGUAUAAUAAAUUUAUUUAACAGUUAUUAAAGUAGGCUAAAAUGACCCAUUCUAAUAAAGCACAUAGAAUGUUUAAGAAAUAAAAGCUACCUUAGGGAUAACAGGGUAAUUUCUAUAAGGACUGAGAUAGUGCUGAUAGAGCUUGCCACCUCGAUGUUGAAUUGAGAUAACCUUGCGUUUAAGCGAGCGCAAAAGGUAGGUCUGUUCGACCUUUAAAAUCUU
Molecule: ribosomal RNA, 580 nt
Filed under: Rhizogeton sp. MHNG-HYD-DNA542
Lineage: Eukaryota; Metazoa; Cnidaria; Hydrozoa; Anthoathecata; Clavidae
Description: partial 16S ribosomal RNA
Rfam family: Bacterial large subunit ribosomal RNA
Source: RNAcentral